This 944-nucleotide ribosomal RNA is filed under the name Fibroporia radiculosa. Its description in RNAcentral is "LSU rRNA". It matches the Rfam family "Eukaryotic large subunit ribosomal RNA", at positions 35 to 958 of the family's 3401-position model. Lineage: Eukaryota; Fungi; Basidiomycota; Agaricomycetes; Polyporales; Fibroporiaceae. The record is from RNAcentral.
UAAGCAUAUCAAUAAGCGGAGGAAAAGAAACUAACAAGGAUUCCCCUAGUAACUGCGAGUGAAGCGGGAAAAGCUCAAAUUUAAAAUCUGGCAGUCUUUGAUUGUCCGAGUUGUAGUCUGGAGAAGUGCUUUCCGCGCUGGACCGUGUACAAGUCCCUUGGAACAGGGCGUCAUAGAGGGUGAGAAUCCCGUCUUUGACACGGACUACCAGUGCUUUGUGAUGCGCUCUCAAAGAGUCGAGUUGUUUGGGAAUGCAGCUCAAAAUGGGUGGUAAAUUCCAUCUAAAGCUAAAUACAGGCGAGAGACCGAUAGCGAACAAGUACCGUGAGGGAAAGAUGAAAAGCACUUUGGAAAGAGAGUUAAACAGUACGUGAAAUUGCUGAAAGGGAAACGCUUGAAGUCAGUCGCGUCUUUCGGAAAUCAGCCUUGCAUUUAUUUGUUUGGUGUAUUUUCUGUUUGACGGGCCAACAUCGAUUUUAAUCGUUGGAUAAAGAUAAAGGAAAUGUGGCACCUUCGGGUGUGUUAUAGUCUUUUAUUGCAUACAACGGUCGGGAUCGAGGAACUCAGCACGCCUUUAUUGGUCGGGGUUCGCCCACGUUUCGUGCUUAGGAUGUUGGCAUAAUGGCUUUAAACGACCCGUCUUGAAACACGGACCAAGGAGUCUAACAUACCUGCGAGUGUUUGGGUGUUAAACCCGAGCGCGUAAUUAAAGUAAUAGUUGAGAUCCCCCUUAAAAGGGAGCAUCGACGCCCGGACUUGACCUUUUGUGAUAGCUCUGCGGUAGAGCAUGUAUGUUGGGACCCGAAAGAUGGUGAACUAUGCCUGAAUAGGGUGAAGCCAGAGGAAACUCUGGUGGAGGCUCGUAGCGAUUCUGACGUGCAAAUCGAUCGUCAAAUUUGGGUAUAGGGGCGAAAGACUAAUCGAACCAUCUAGUAGCUGGUUCC